Molecule: long non-coding RNA, 1633 nt
Filed under: Linum usitatissimum (flax)
Lineage: Eukaryota; Viridiplantae; Streptophyta; Magnoliopsida; Malpighiales; Linaceae
Description: long non-coding RNA (LUSI_LNC006309)
Source: RNAcentral
GGAAUAUACAACUUCUAUUAGGGUUUCGCUACUUUUUUCAAUCUCUGUAAGGGAGCAUUGAGAUACACUGUUUACAAAACUGUCUCUCUCUCUACCAUUCAUUCUGCUGUGGCUUUUAUACACAAAAAUCACCAUAUCAAAAGAAUAUACAAGGAGCAUUGAGAAGCCGCCUCUGCAAGUCAAGGUAAGUAUUCAUCCAUACAAUCUCUUAGCUUUUGGAGGGUAACUGGUUUUGACACAAACGAGUCCAUCCCAUUUGCAUAGCAUUCCUCUGCACUCUCUGAUAGUGCAUUUGCUGUCAUCUGCAAACAACCAACUCCCUUGUUAGAAGAACACCCACCUAACUAGUUUUCUUUAAGAAAGGGGUUGUAUUUUCCUACAGAAGGUCUGGCAUCUAGAAUCAUGUUUAUUAAAAAAGUUGAAUUGAGACUUGUUUGAACAGUAAGAUUCAUUAUUCUUAGGAAAGUUGAGUUAAAAUUAGUGAAAAAAGUUAUGUUGAGAUUGGAAGGGGUUAUGAAAGGAACGUUAAAUUAGGGAUAUAAAGGAUUUUUAAAAAAGUAUAUUUUCCUUCAAUAGAUUAGGAAACACAAUCUCUUGAUCUAAAUUUCUUUCCACAAUCUCUCCCAAUUUUAAUUCAACUUUCUUAUACUUAUCUUAACUCAACUUACUUAGAAAUUAUAAUUUUUAUUGGCAAACCAAGUCUGAGAUUAGUUGAAGAAAGUUCAGUUGAGGUUAGUAGGAUUGUGGAAGGAAGUUGAAUUAAGUUAUAUAAAGAAUUUUUAAGAAAGUUUAAGUUUUAUUUAAGUAGAACGGGAAACAUAAUUCCACUUAAAUUCUCUUAUAUCACUUUAUUUAACUUUCGUGUCACAACCUCUUUCAGACUCAACUCAACUUUCUUCGACGAACAUCAAUUAAACUUUCUUAGGAAAACAUUAUUCUAGAUAUCAACCCUUACCCUAACUUACCGCGACUAUGGGGAUACGAUCUCUGGAACUGGGAUGGAAGCUAUGCCCAUUUUGUAAGCAAGUGGCUGAUUGCUCAAUUCCAGCUUGGACAGCUGCAUCCCACCUUCCUGUUUCCUCGUAGGAACGGAUUAUCCUUGUAGCUUGAAGGCCAUCCAUAACUGGCAUAUAUACAUCCUGCAAAAUUUCCCCAUUUCUUUGUUUAGUUUUAGAGUGUCUGAAUGGAAGUUGCUUCUUUGUGAGGCUUCAGUUUUUUUAGACCCUAGAAGAAUUUACCAUUAGAACGAGAUCAUAGUGUUCCCGUUGUAUUGCCUUCACUGCUUCGACUCCAUUGUUCACCACAAUUAUGUCGUGCCCUAACUGCUUCAUCAUGGAUCGAGCUACCAUCACAUUGAUCUUAUUGUCUUCAACUAGCAGGAUCUGUGGCUUUGGCUUUGCUUCUGUGUUACCAUUUGACAGACAUGAUCCUUGAGAACCGCUUGUGCUCACUCCGGAAUUCGUUCUUCUGAUAGACUCUGAGCAGUUACUGCUUGCUUACACUAGAUGUGUGUCCAUUAUCAGCUAUCCGACACUGACCGAAUGAACUUUCAGGUUCGGAUGCUUUCUCUGCAACUUCAACCACAGAAGAACAGACAUCCCCAACAGAAGUUGGCUCUUUACAUCUGGAUGGG